This 761-nucleotide ribosomal RNA is filed under the name Prevotella nigrescens. Its description in RNAcentral is "bacterial SSU rRNA". It matches the Rfam family "Bacterial small subunit ribosomal RNA", at positions 28 to 776 of the family's 1533-position model. Lineage: Bacteria; Pseudomonadati; Bacteroidota; Bacteroidia; Bacteroidales; Prevotellaceae. The record is from RNAcentral.
GAUGAACGCUGGCUACAGGCUUAACACAUGCAAGUCGUGGGGAAACGGCAUUAUGUGCUUGCACAUUCUGGACGUCGACCGGCGCACGGGUGAGUAUCGCGUAUCCAACCUGCCCCUUACUUGGGGAUACCCCGUUGAAAGACGGCCUAAUACCCGAUGUGUUUCAUUGACGGCAUCCGAUAUGAAACAAAGGUUUUCCGGUAAGGGAUGGGGAUGCGUCUGAUUAGCUAGUUGGCGGGGCAACGGCCCACCAAGGCGACGAUCAGUAGGGGUUCUGAGAGGAAGGUCCCCCACAUUGGAACUGAGGCACGGUCCAAACUCCUACGGGAGGCAGCAGUGAGGAAUAUUGGUCAAUGGACGCAAGUCUGAACCAGCCAAGUAGCGUGCAGGAUGACGGCCCUAUGGGUUGUAAACUGCUUUUAUGUGGGAAUAAAGUGGCGCACGUGUGCGCCAUUGCAUGUACCUCAUGAAUAAGGACCGGCUAAUUCCGUGCCAGCAGCCGCGGUAAUACGGAAGGUCCGGGCGUUAUCCGGAUUUAUUGGGUUUAAAGGGAGUGUAGGCGGUCUGUUAAGCGUGUUGUGAAAUUUAGGUGCUCAACAUUUAACUUGCAGCGCGAACUGUCAGACUUGAGUACACGCAGCGCAGGCGGAAUUCAUGGUGUAGCGGUGAAAUGCUUAGAUAUCAUGAGGAACUCCGAUCGCGAAGGCAGCCUGCGGGAGUGUUACUGACGCUUAAGCUCGAAGGUGCGGGUAUCGAACAGG